AUUGAACGCUGGCGGCAGGCCUAACACAUGCAAGUCGAGCGAGCGGCGGACGGGUGAGUAAUGUAUGGGAAACUGCCCGAUGGAGGGGGAUAACUACUGGAAACGGUAGCUAAUACCGCAUACUAUCGGAUGUGCCCAGAUGGGAUUAGCUAGUAGGUGGGGUAAAGGCUCACCAAGGCAACGAUCCAUAGCUGGCCUGAGAGGAUGACCAGCCACACUGGGACUGAGACACGGCCCAGACUCCUACGGGAGGCAGCAGUGGGGAAUCUUGCGCAAUGGGCGAAAGCCUGAUGCAGCCAUGCCGCGUGAAUGAUGAAGGCCUUAGGGUUGUAAAGUACUUUUAUUAGGGAAGCGGUACCUGCAGAAGAAGCAACGGCUAACUACGUGCCAGCAGCCGCGGUAAUAC
Molecule: ribosomal RNA, 406 nt
Filed under: uncultured bacterium
Lineage: Bacteria
Description: partial 16S ribosomal RNA
Rfam family: Bacterial small subunit ribosomal RNA
Source: RNAcentral